This 402-nucleotide ribosomal RNA is filed under the name Verrucomicrobiota bacterium. RNAcentral describes it as "Verrucomicrobia bacterium partial 16S ribosomal RNA". It matches the Rfam family "Bacterial small subunit ribosomal RNA", at positions 355 to 776 of the family's 1533-position model. Lineage: Bacteria; Pseudomonadati; Verrucomicrobiota. The record is from RNAcentral.
UGGGGAAUUUUGCACAAUGGGGGAAACCCUGAUGCAGCGACGCCGCGUGAUUUAGAAGGCCUUCGGGUUGUAAAAAUCUUUUCUAUGGGAAGAAAAUGACAGUACCAUAGGAAUAAGGACCGGCUAAUUACGUGCCAGCAGCCGCGGUAAUACGUAAGGUCCGAGCGUUGUCCGGAAUCAUUGGGCGUAAAGGGUACGUAGGCGGGUAAGCAAGUUAGAAGUGAAAUCCUGUAGCUCAACUACAGUAAGCUUUUAAAACUGCUCAUCUUGAGAUAUGGAAGGGAAAGUGGAAUUCCUAGUGUAGCGGUGAAAUGCGCAGAUAUUAGGAGGAAUACCGGUGGCGAAUGCGACUUUCUGGCCAUAAUCUGACGCUGAGGUACGAAAGCGUGGGGAGCAAACAGG